GUCAUUUCUUUUCUGUUUUCCUCUCCCUCCUCCUCCACUCUGCUCAGGUCCCUCUCACCCUUUUUUUUUUUUUUUUUUAACGCUACGCCAUAGUCCCCGGGAGAAUUCAGAUCCCAACCGGGGCUUCCGGAUUCUGUAGUGGCUUUGGCCUGUGUCUGGUCUGAGGACGCCGGGAAGGCAUUGCACUGAGGCUAAGGGAAAGGUCUUCUGGAGGGAGCCUCAGGAAGAGCAAAUGGAGGCCAGAGACUGGAAGGAGCGCGCCAGCGCAGGACUUAAUCCCGACGAGCGGAUUCAGAGCCGUGCUUAUAUAAAGCUUCAGGAAGCGCCCUUCCGACGAUGAGGCCGACACGCGAGAGGCGACCUCAAGGGCGGCGGCGCCAGGGAUCUGUGCGCCAAGGAGGACGGGAGGGAGCAGGUUCGCCAUAAUCCUGGCUCUAGGCUCUGUUUUGUUGGACCGAGCAACUGUAUUUUAGCUCACACAGGAGAAUUCUAGCCCUGGAAAAAAUUGGUCUCAGCAUGCUGCCAAGCUUUCUCAUGGAGGUCAGCGAAUCCCAACACACUGUCGGUCAAAGCCGUGCUGGAAGAAACAAAACAGUUCUCCCUCGGUAGAACUGAGGGGGCAUUGGUCCAGGGCUCCCGCGGAUACCAAAAUCCAGGUUGCUCAAGUCUCUCAUAGAAAAUGGCGUAGUAUUUGCACGUAACUAUGCACAUCCUCCCGUGUACUUUAAAUAGUCUCUUAAUUACUUUAUAACACCUAAUCCAGUGUACAUGCUAUGUAAGUAAUUGUUAUAGUGUUUUAUUUUUACUAUCUUUGUUUGUACUUUUUUUAAAAAAAGAAAUUCAUUUGUUAGUAUUUCGAUCUUGGGAACCCGCGUAUAUGGAGGGCCUGCUACAUAGAGAAGACUGAGGGAUAUUCUGUGCAUCCGUUUCUGCGGAUCCUCCAAAUCGGCCGUUGUUUUCAGCCAGGAUUUAGUGCCCAACUGUGUCCUUUGGAGGCCCCACAUGGAGCUAGCAAAGUUUGCUAAAUCGGGUUUUUGCAAGAGGACUGUCUGCUCCAUACUGAGAGUAAUUACCACAAACUGCCCUGUGAAGUUGGUUGGGGUUCUUACUGUUAGCACGUUUAUUACUUUAUCAGGGCUCUCUGUAGGAGAGUCUAUGAGAAAAUCUUCUGGCUUCUGCUGAAAGAAUCGUGUUUUGUUGGGGUUUUUUUUUUUUUCCCGAAAAUAUUAUUUUAAAAACU
Molecule: non-coding RNA, 1240 nt
Filed under: Pongo abelii (Sumatran orangutan)
Lineage: Eukaryota; Metazoa; Chordata; Mammalia; Primates; Hominidae
Source: RNAcentral